CGCGUAGGCGGGAUAGCAAGUCAGGUGUGAAAUCCGGGGGCUCAACCCUCGAACUGCACUUGAAACUGUUAUUCUUGAGUGAUGGAGAGGCAAGUGGAAUUCCUAGUGUAGCGGUGAAAUGCGUAGAUAUUAGGAGGAACACCAGUGGCGAAGGCGACUUGCUGGACAUUAACUGACGCUGAGGCGCGAAAGCGUGGGGAGCAAACAG
Molecule: ribosomal RNA, 208 nt
Filed under: uncultured bacterium
Lineage: Bacteria
Description: partial 16S ribosomal RNA
Rfam family: Bacterial small subunit ribosomal RNA
Source: RNAcentral